AUCAUGCAGCAACAGAGCAUAAAGGAUGCAUUGGAGAGUACUGCAUGCCUUCAGCAUCUUGGGCCUGCUACGAGCAGAGUUCCAUUCCCUCAUGUAUUGAACCCAGCUUUCUACAGAGCUUCGCUUGUGUAAGAACACAUUGCGUGAUAUCUCAACAAACUGGAAUCAUCUGGCACCAACUAUGUUUGACUUACUGUCCCGCUAAAAGGUGUAUAAGAAAAAUCAAUAUCUGUUUUGUUU
This is a long non-coding RNA of Passer domesticus (house sparrow), 240 nucleotides long. RefSeq lists it as uncharacterized. The record is from RefSeq and is a predicted model, not a curated record. The transcript has 3 exons. Lineage: Eukaryota; Metazoa; Chordata; Aves; Passeriformes; Passeridae.